AAUAGAUUUCUCCUCUUUAGAAAGAAUGCAUAAAUCAAUAGUUAAACGAGGAAAAGGAAAAUUAUGUUUAUCAUAAUAGUAUAAGAAAAAAGGCAUUUAAAAGAAGUUUAGAAAUAAGACUACACAGACUUCAUUAUUAAUAUAUUAUUGUUAUUAUUAGUAUUAAAAAUUCAUUCAAACAUUUCUCUCAUACUUUUCCUGCCCACAGAUUAGAUGUAAAAAUGUCUUAACUGAGCUUAAGGGCAAAGAACGGGCACUUGGCUUUGCUACUGCCUGGCUGUGUGAUCUUGGACAAGACACUGUUCCUCUCCGGGGCUCAGAUUCCUCACCUGAAAAGCCAGAAUCCUAUACUUUCUUUCAACUCUGACAUGCUAUUAAUACAAUUCCAGAUGCUACCAAGGCUGCACAUCCAGCCCUCUGCCUCCUUUGGGAUGGAAACAGUAAAGAAAAUACAAUUUAGAGAGGCAUAUUGAAACAAGGAAUCAUACAAAUAGGCAGCCAAUGACAUCCCAGGAAGGAAAGAGAAGAGUCAACUAUGACUUCACCUAUGAUGUCAUUAAGGCCUUAGGACUUUACAAACAUGGAAUUGUACCAACACAGACUUUUACAAAUAUAGGCUGAUUCAUACCAGAAUAUAGGUGUGACUUGAAGAAAGUAACUGAAAUUCUUAAAAAGGAUGCCUGUUGAAGGUGGUGGGGGGAGGGAGGUUGGAGGACAUAGAAGAAGUUAGAUUUUAAAGGUUAAAAAUGAGUAGCAGAAUGAGUAGCAGAAAGCAGCAAGAGACAGUAAGAAUUUGAAAACCAAGUGGUCACUGAAAGCAAUGGUAGAUGAGAGUACAGGCAAAAGCAUUUUUAAGUCUGGAAAAAAAUCUCAAAUCCUCUUAAAUGUGGUCAGGAAGAGACACAGCAAACGCUAAAUUAGUCAAGGGCAGAGGAGCAGGAAGUUUACCAGGGAGAAGGGAUGGCCUGGUAUGAAUAGGUAUAAAAGGACCUCUCCAACAUGAGAUCAAGGUAGUUCUCUAAAUGGCUUCGAGCUUGCAUUAGUGGGAUUAUCCUUGGUUAAUUUUAGGAAAAUCAAAACCCACUACUUGUCCUACAUGCUUGGAAUCCAAGGUACACACAUAAAGAAUUCAUAAAACAUAGGAAAGUGUGCAUGAGGCCCAAUUUCUAAGUCACCUACUGCUCGUGCUUAAUGUCCUUUAUCCUACGAUGGCUGCCAGUGAGGAGGAAGCACAUUACAGCAAAUCCACCAAGUCUGGGAGGACACACCUUCCACCUUCCCCCAUGCCUAACAAAUGCUAAAAAUAAAGAGAAAUAAAAGAAUAUUUAUGCAAAAAACAACUUUUCCUAACUCCUUAAAAAAUAAAUGACCUCUAACUGAGAAACACUGUGCUUGUCACAGGCUUUCAGUGACCAUAAUAAAGCUCCAAGUUUAAAUCUUCAGUGAGUUGAAGCAAGGUAAGGAUGGAAAACAACCACACCAUCCCCCUUUCCCAGAAGGUGAUCUAGGCAGAGAAAGACAGAGCAGAUCUCCAAAAACUGACUUACUCAGCGAUGAAAAGAACCAUGUGCAGUGACCAAUAUCCAGCUGUUUGCCUAUGAACAGGUCCUCUAUGGGACAAAACUCCAAAACCACUAUGAGGAAUGACCAAAGAAUCUACCCCAGAGACAGGCUGGCUAGUAACUGAAACCACAGCCUUCUUAGCCAGUCGUCCCAAACUAAUACAUUCUAGCUACUUCAUGUACCUGAUGCAACCAAGUGCUAGAACACCUUUAUUCUAAGAAUGUGCCCAUCCAAUAGAAAGUCAGUGCCAUUUUAAUUUCAGUUA
RNAcentral lists this long non-coding RNA (1828 nucleotides) under Homo sapiens (human). RNAcentral describes it as "HSALNT0382699". The record is from RNAcentral. Lineage: Eukaryota; Metazoa; Chordata; Mammalia; Primates; Hominidae.